This is an RNA transcript of Trifolium pratense (red clover), 1524 nucleotides long. RefSeq lists it as uncharacterized. The record is from RefSeq and is a predicted model, not a curated record. NCBI's taxonomy places the organism in Eukaryota, Viridiplantae, Streptophyta, Magnoliopsida, Fabales, Fabaceae. The transcript has 5 exons.
AAACACGAUUUAUCAAACCCUUCAUUCUCUCUCUUCACUCACGAAAAUCUAUACUCUCUCUCUAUAUUCACUCUCACAACUCACAAGCCUUCAUUCUCAAAACCCUAAUCGAAUCCCUCUCACUCUCACGGAAAUCAUUCUUGAACCCUAAUCUGUAAGCUUAUUCUCGAAUCCCUCUCACUCUCAUGAAGCCUCAAGAACCCUAAUCUGUAAGAAGAAGAAGAAGCAUGCUUUGUUCCCGUGAGAAGAAGAAACAUAAAGGUAUUCAUCGAAAUUUUCACAGAUUCUUCAUUUGUAUUUCGAUUUUCAUCUUUUCUAUCGUUUUUCUAUCCUCUCAUUUUCGAUUUUCAACUUUUUCCUUUCGAAGUAAACAGGGUAUAUGGAGAGAUCGAAUAGUAUGGAGAAAGUGAAACGAAGCUUAGAUUGUAAUGGUUCUAGGGUGUGAUUUUUAUUUUUGAAAAGUUUUGAUUUUUUUGAGGUUUUGGAUGUGUACACUGCGAAAUUUUUAUUUUUUGUUAUCUGGGUUGUUGCAUGUGUUGGAAAAGAUAGGAUUUUGUUUGUUAACUUAAUUUGUUUUAUAGAUUGUGUACUUGUGUGUUGGAAUAGAGAUUUUUGUAUGUUAAUUUUGUUUGUUUUUCUUUGUUUUAUGGAUUAUGGAUUUGAGGUGCAUGUGGAUAAUGAUGAUGGGAAGCUUGAAGAAAGUGGAGUUGAUAGAAGCAGUUCUGCUUUGUUUUCACCUAAGCAGAUUUCCAACCCAGUUUUGUACAAACUUGUUCAGAGGUAAAAAGGCAUGUGGUUUCUUUUUUGAAUGAGGCAAAGGAAAGACAAGGAUUAGAUAUGCGAGUUUCUUCUCUGUAUGGCUGGCUUGCUGAGGGUUCAUUGUCUAUUGGGUGAUUAUCAUAUUGGUCUUAAGUGCUUGCAACCUAUUGAUAUUAGUCAGCCAGGUGUUUACACCAUUGUCAUUGAUAUUGGUCAGCCAGUUUGAGAGUAAACCUAACAUGAGCGCAAUCGCUUGGUAGGAGGUGGUCAAAAAUCUUCGGUCGUCAUCCUCUCUAAAAGAUUUAUUCUCUUCCUUCAAGUUCAAUGGAAUGUUAAAGUGCAAGUCUGAUAGGUUGUUCUUAGAAGUUCAGAGGCUAAAGAAUAUGCAUACUGGAGUUAAGAACUUGGAUGGUUCUUUGUGAAAUCCUACUGGUUUUUUCAAGUAUGCCCUUUACUUUCCAAGCAUGGUUUGACCAUAGAGGUAACCGAAUAAGAAGAGUCAAGCGAUGAUAGGCGUUUCUGAGUCUAGUUAACACUAAUUAAGGAUUAUGAAGCAACAUCACAUACUAGGGAUAUUUAGAUACUUUUUGAACUUAUUUUGACGUAAUGUUAUGUUUAGCCACUCUACUAAUAUAUUUAUGUUUUAAUUUUUGAAUGUUUGAACUACAUUAGUUUCUUUCGUUUGGAACUUCAAGUACUUGAAUUAAAUUUUUGAUGUAUGGAUUUUGUCAUUAUUGAAUGAAUUAUAUAAAUGAGAUUAAGUUA